RNA transcript from Callithrix jacchus (white-tufted-ear marmoset), 3298 nucleotides. It is a transcript of the gene named metallothionein-1G pseudogene, with no coding region annotated. The record is from RefSeq and is a predicted model, not a curated record. Lineage: Eukaryota; Metazoa; Chordata; Mammalia; Primates; Cebidae.
CUCAUCGAAAGGCCACAAACGGCAGCCUUUGGGCCAAAUGUGAUGUGUUUUGUUUGGUCCAUAAUUGAAUCAGUUGUCUGCAUUUAAGCAGUUCAAGUCCCAGCGAGUUCCCGUGCAGCCAUGUCCCAACUCCAGCCGCCUCUUCAGCUCGCCAUGGAUUCCAACUGCUCCUGCGCCCCGGUGACUCCUGCAUCUGGGCCACCGGCUCCUGCAAGUGCAAAGAGUGCAAAUGCACCUCCUGCAAGAAAAGCUGCUGCUCCUGCUGCCCUGUGGGCUGUGCCAAGCGUGCCCAGGGCUGCAUCUGCAAAGGGGCGUCGGACAAGCGCAGCUGCUGUGCCUGAUGCCUGUUCCCAGAUGUAAAUAACGAUCCCUGUGCCCAGACGUAAAUAAUGCAACCUCUAUAAACCUGGGUUCUUUUUGUUUGUACAACUCUGACCCGUUUGCUACACUCCUUUUUCUAUGAAAUAAUGUGAAUAAUAAAACAGCUCACAUUUUGUAAAAGUCCAGAUUCCUGAUUACUGCUGGGCAACUGGAAGAUCUGUGGACCCUACACAGCCAGCAUUUCUCCGUGGCAGCACAAAAAGCUGAGCAGUGAUCGUGCCCUCUGCACGGGUAGUCCCCAGUUUCCCACAGUCCCUGCCUGGCCUCUUCUAAUUCAUUUACAUAAUCUGUCUGGACUCAGUUGGAAGCUUUUGAGUUUAAAGCCCUUGCUAAGCCAACCUGUUAAUUUUUUUUUUUUUUUUUUUUUAGAUGGAGUUUUGCUCUUGUUACCCAGCUGGAGUGCAAUGGGGCGAUCUUGGUUCACUGCAACCUCCUCCUGAGUUCAAGCAAUUCUCCUGCCUCCGCCUCCCCAAUAGCUGGGACUACAGGUGCACGCCACCGUGCCCUGCUAAUUUUUAUUUUUAGUAGCGAUGGGGUUUCAUCUUGUUGACCAGGAUGGUCUCGAUCUCCUGACCUUGUGAUCUACCCGCCUCGGCCUCCCAAAGUGCUGGAAUUAUAGGCUUGAGCCACCGCGCCCGGCCCCAUUUUUCUAGAUAAGAAAGUGAGGUCCCAAGAAGCCCAGGGACUCGCCCAGCCAUACGACUUUUUCUAAUACAACGGGUGGGGGUGUCGUUUCCAUACAUUCAUUUUUCCAUCCCAUGCUUUGCCACUUAAAUGGUGAGGUUUGUUUAGCAAAGGAAAAGAGAUUUAGAAAGGAAAUGUAAGUGGUGAGGUUAAAGUCUGAAGAAACUACGUUGCAAGCGGGAAAAGACAAAGGUGACGUUAAUAAGAGGGUAAUUUAGAGGCUCACUAACGAACUCAAGAGGCUUCAAUAGGAGAUUGUUAAUGGGAGGAAGUGGAAGGCAGAGAGAGGUUACGUGUGUAAUAAGAACAAACGAGAGAAGCACGGGCUAAGGGAAGAUGAGGAGAGACGGUAAAACAGACACUGAAUUGAUCCGCUCCCAUACAGAGAAAACGCAGCAGUUGACGGAAAGGACACUGGAAAAAUAAAUUUCACAGUAAAAAUUGAACAGAGAAAAAAUUAGAAAUUAUAGGCUGGGCACGGUGGCUCACGCCUGUAAUCCCAGCACUCUGGGAGGCCGAGGUGGGCGAAUCACAAGGUCAGGAUGUCGAGACCACCCUGGCCAACAUGAUGAAACCCCAUCUCUACUAAAAAUACAAAAAAAUUAGCUGGGUAGGGUGGCAGGCACCUGUAAUUCCAGCUACUUGGGAGGCUGAGGCAGGAAAAUUGCUUGAACCCAGGAGGCAGAGUUUGCAAUGAGCCAAGAUCAUGCCACUGCACUCCAGCCUGGUGAUAAGAGACUCCAUCUGAAAAAAAAAUUUUUUUUAAUUAGAAAUUAUAAAAGAUGUCUUAUUCAGAUUUAUUUAUUUGAGGAAAAAAAGAGGUGGAGAAAAGAAGAGGCAGCUUCUCAAGAUUGCCUGAGAUAUUAUUAACAAUAAAAAAAAGUAAACAAAAAACAAUUUCAAAGGAGAGCUUCACCAACAGAAGAGAAUAAUAAUUUAAAAAUUAAAAAACAAUUAUCUGGGGGAAAAAGCUCCACAAGGAAAAAAUAAUUCUUCCUGAAAUGAAGCAUACUAAAAUAUGCAACCCCAAAAUAUGUCAUUUUGGCACAUAGGUUAUUUGGAGCUGAAGGCAAUAGAGAACCAGCAGACCAAGUAAAAGCUCUUUACCUCCCCCUAAUCACCUAACACAAACUAUAAAGUUCCCCUUUUGUACAGAAAAUUUACAUUUAUAAAGGAAAUUUCCAUUUGUAAGGGAAGAGAGCUGCUCCUGGAAACAGUAGCUACCCCUGAGAGACAUACCUGCAUAACAACACAACCCUUAUUUACUACGCAUUUCAUCCCCACACCUUCCCAGAACUUUCCUCCUUCCCUCAGCAGCCCAAACUCCUUUCUCUCUGCUCAGCCUAAGAUGGUCCAGAAGCUUCAAUCGUCUGGCUGCCUCCUUGAGCCUCAGUUCGUUGUGAAACUUCCGUGCAGAGGCUGUACAGGAAGCAUAGCUGUUUCUGCUUCUGGGGAGGCCUCUCAGGAAGCUUACAAUCAUGGCAGAAGGUGAAGGGGAAGAGAGACUAAAAAAUAUUUGAGUUUGUUAGUCAACAUAGUCUUCUUGCUACACUGAAAAAGGAUACUGUGAGGAAGCAUGUGGCUCUGGAAAUUGUGAAAGGGUGUAUUCAUAAAUGCGCUCAUCCGCAGAAUGCUUCUAUGUAUAACAGCUCACAAUUGCCUACUUCCUUGUUUUCACUGGAAAUUAAGAUCUCUUAUCUUGCAACACCUAAUCCGAAUCUCUCUCAACAGCUACAAACUUGGCUUUUGAUAUAUGAAACCUCCUGAGAAGAAGAAAGUUUCAAAGGGUGGGAUAAAGAGUUCCAGAAUAUGCCACCCGACAUAUGGACUAUUUUGAGCUAAAAGCAAUUGAGAACCAGCACACACAGGAAAGGCUCUUCACCCAUCCUCUUACUGCCUAAAAGCAGAAUAUAAAUUUCCCCUUCUGUAAAGGAAAUUUACAUUUAUAAAGGAAAUUUCUCUUCGUGAAGAUUCCUCUGCACCAGAAACAGGGCUAGGCCUGGAGAUAACCCAUCACCUGAGACACUCUUAUCUACAUAACUCUUAUUUACAUACGAGUAUACAUUUCUCGCCUCACUUUCUCAGGACUUGUCCUCUGAGAAGCCCCAAACCCCUUUCUCUUUGUUUAGCCUAAGAUGGUAUAUAAGCCUCAAUCUGGAUCUCCUUGAGUCUCUUUUUUUAGUGAUACUCCCAUGUGUAUGUACAAAAUUAAAUUGUAUUUUCCUCUUGUUAA